This 301-nucleotide ribosomal RNA is filed under the name uncultured bacterium. RNAcentral's name for it is "partial 16S ribosomal RNA". It matches the Rfam family "Bacterial small subunit ribosomal RNA", at positions 509 to 807 of the family's 1533-position model. The record is from RNAcentral.
CAGUCGCCGCGGUAAAACGAAGGGUGCAAGCGUUACUCGGAAUUACUGGGCGUAAAGCGUGCGUAGGUGGUGGUUUAAGUCCGUUGUGAAAGCCCUGGGCUCAACCUGGGAAUUGCAGUGGAUACUGGGUCACUAGAGUGUGGUAGAGGAUAGUGGAAUUUCCGGUGUAGCAGUGAAAUGCGUAGAGAUCGGAAGGAACAUCUGUGGCGAAGGCGACUAUCUGGGCCAACACUGACACUGAGGCACGAAAGCGUGGGGAGCAAACAGGAUUAGAUACCCCUGUAGUCCCUGUCUCUUAUAC